CGCUCCUGCCUGCUUAGCAGGGAAGGGAGCCUAAGGUUGGUUCUGCGACCUUCCCGACCCGUCCUCACCACCCCAGGAUGUUCCAGACGGUCCCCGACACGUCGUCUUACGUCAAGUUCCCAAGAACGUAAACAAAACGAGGCCAGGGCAUCUGGGUUACACGUUUAAUGAAAAUCGGCCAGCGAGGCGGGGCCGAGGGUGCGGAACGGG
Eptesicus fuscus (big brown bat) is the source of this 210-nucleotide long non-coding RNA. RefSeq lists it as uncharacterized. The transcript is spliced from 3 exons. The record is from RefSeq and is a predicted model, not a curated record. NCBI's taxonomy places the organism in Eukaryota, Metazoa, Chordata, Mammalia, Chiroptera, Vespertilionidae.